This 467-nucleotide ribosomal RNA is filed under the name uncultured bacterium. RNAcentral's name for it is "partial 16S ribosomal RNA". It matches the Rfam family "Bacterial small subunit ribosomal RNA", at positions 28 to 507 of the family's 1533-position model. The record is from RNAcentral.
GACGAACGCUGGCGGCGUGCUUAACACAUGCAAGUCGAACGAUGAUCAGGAGCUUGCUCCUGUGAUUAGUGGCGAACGGGUGAGUAACACGUGAGUAACCUGCCCCUGACUCUGGGAUAAGCGUUGGAAACGACGUCUAAUACUGGAUAUGAUCACUGGCCGCAUGGUCUGGUGGUGGAAAGAUUUUUUGGUUGGGGAUGGACUCGCGGCCUAUCAGCUUGUUGGUGAGGUAAUGGCUCACCAAGGCGACGACGGGUAGCCGGCCUGAGAGGGUGACCGGCCACACUGGGACUGAGACACGGCCCAGACUCCUACGGGAGGCAGCAGUGGGGAAUAUUGCACAAUGGGCGGAAGCCUGAUGCAGCAACGCCGCGUGAGGGAUGACGGCCUUCGGGUUGUAAACCUCUUUUAGUAGGGAAGAAGCGAAAGUGACGGUACCUGCAGAAAAAGCACCGGCUAACUACGUG